AUAGUUGGAAAAUACGCAACUCCUACGUGCACAAACGCACGCAGCGCCGCCCCUGCAUUGCCCCGGCCGUGCGCACACGGCACAGCCAUCCCUAGUUCCCUGCUGGCAAAACCCUAGUCCGCCAGGGCAGAGGGCAGCGACCUUCUAGAACCUUCUCCAAUGGCGCUACUCCGAGCGCUUCCGGCGGCGGUUCUCCCCCGUCGCGCCCCGCACCCACUUCCUCACCCCCCCCGGCUCACCUUCGGUUCCUGGACCCGAUCGGGCUCCGCCCCUUCUUCUCCUCCUCCGCCGCCGCCACCGACUCGCAGGCACCGUCCAUGGGGGCCACCCUCUUCGGCGGGCUCACGGAGUCCCGGUUCGCGAAGCGCCGGCCGGGCUUCGCCGACCGCCGGAAGAGGGCCAGCUUGCGCGCCGAAGGUGCGGAGGGGGAGGGUUUCUCCAGCCUCUCGUUUCUAGCCAUCCCUUGGCCCCAGGCGCGGCGUCGCCGGGCGUGAGCUCGCGAGAAGGACGCCGAGAAGCAACUCCGGCCCACCCUACCGGGUGAAGUGCGAGCCUGACGAGCCCGUACCAGCUAGCCAGCCAAACCAAGGGAGCGUGCGAGUGCGAGGGAGGAAGGACAGGAAGCGGAUCAAGCAGCGGGACGACUUCAUCACGGCUGAGAAGGAGAAGCGCAGAGCACAGUAUUCUGCCGCUGUUAAGAGAAAGGAGGCAGAACGGACAGAAAGGGAGAUGGCUGCUGUGGCAAGAGAUCGGGCAUGGGCAGAAAGGUUGGUAGAGCUAAAACAGCUUGAGGAAGAAAAGAACACUGCAAUGGCAUAAAAGGGCAUGCUCUGGAAAAUGUCAAGGCAUCUAACUUGUUUUUGCUUCUCUAUUCUUUCCCCAUUUUUUCCACAUAGUAUAGAAUGUCACAGUUGUAAUGGAAGACUAGUUGUACCACUUCUUUCAACCGUAUAUCAAAUGCUGGACGUGGUGUUAAUACGAUUUUUCAUUAGUCCAUGUAUGGAGUUUGUUUAUUUUGAUGUAUUUAGAAUAAGUGAUGUGAUGGUUUUUGUGUGCUGGAGACCUGAGAUGACUGUCGUUUGCAACAUAUAGUUUUGGUA
Long non-coding RNA from Zea mays, 1100 nucleotides. RefSeq lists it as uncharacterized. The record is from RefSeq and is a predicted model, not a curated record. NCBI's taxonomy places the organism in Eukaryota, Viridiplantae, Streptophyta, Magnoliopsida, Poales, Poaceae. The transcript is spliced from 3 exons.